AUUGAACGCUGGCGGCAGGCCUAACACAUGCAAGUCGAGCGGAGCGGCGGGCGGGUGAGUAAUGCCUAGGAAUCUGCCUGGUAGUGGGGGAUAACGUCCGGAAGCAGACGCUAAUCACUACUGCUAUCAGUUGAACCUAGGGCGGAUUGGCUAGUUGGUGGGGUAAAGGCCUACCAAGGCGACGAUCCGUAACUGGCCUGAGAGGAUGAGCAGUCACACUGGAACGGAGACACGGUCCAGACUCCUACGGGAGGCAGCAGUGGGGAAUAUUGGACAAUGGGCGAAAGCCUGAUGCAGCCAUGCCGCGUGUGUGAAGAAGGACUUCGGAGUGUAAAGCACUUGAAGUUGGGAGGCGUUACCAACAGAAUAAGCACCGGCUAACUCCGUGCCAGCAGCCGCGGUAAUAC
Molecule: ribosomal RNA, 407 nt
Filed under: uncultured bacterium
Lineage: Bacteria
Description: partial 16S ribosomal RNA
Rfam family: Bacterial small subunit ribosomal RNA
Source: RNAcentral